This 253-nucleotide ribosomal RNA is filed under the name uncultured bacterium. RNAcentral describes it as "partial 16S ribosomal RNA". It matches the Rfam family "Bacterial small subunit ribosomal RNA", at positions 524 to 776 of the family's 1533-position model. The record is from RNAcentral.
UACAGAGGGUGCAAGCGUUAAUCGGAAUUACUGGGCGUAAAGCGUGCGUAGGUGGUUUGUUAAGUCAGGCGUGAAAUCCCUGGGCUCAACCUGGGAACUGCGUUUGAUACUGGCAGACUCGAGUGUGGUAGAGGGUAGUGGAAUUCCGCAUGUAGCAGUGAAAUGCGUAGAUAUGCGGAGGAACACCAGUGGCGAAGGCGGCUACCUGGACCAACACUGACAAUGAGGCACGAAAGAGUGGGGAGCAAACAGG